AGAGUUUGAUCCUGGCUCAGAACCAACGCUGGCGGCGUGCUUAACACAUGCAAGUCGAACGCGCAAUUGUAUGUAUCCAUGCGUGGAAUGGGCACGUGGCGAACGGGUGCGUCUAACCUACAUAACCUUCCUUCAAGUGGGGAAUAACCCCGAGGCUAUUGGGCUAAUACAUCACAACAUGACGAGGGCACAUGCUCUUGUCUUCAGGUCGCGGCUGAUUCACAAGAUGGAUUCGCGACCGAUCACCUUGUUGGCGAGGUAAUGGCUCACCGAGGCGAUGAUCGGUCGCCGGAUUACUGAGUUGGCCGGCCACUUGGAACUGAGGACGGGUGGGACUCCUGCGGAUGCAGGAAACCCUAAUCUUGCACCAUGGGCGAAAGGAUGAAGCCCCUUGGGGCGUGGCGCAUGAAGCUUCUCACAAUGAUGACCCCUUUGGACCAAGAAGAACGCCCGCACUCUUUUGACGGUACCGCUAUAAUACGCACCGGGUAAGCGUUUGCCGGAAUUAUCGGUAAAAAAGGGGGCGCCAGCGUUGCUCGGAGUCACUGGUGAUAUCUGGUCCGUAAGCUCUGUGCCUGGUCGCUAGUGUGCUGUGCUGGCUUAUGCCAGAGGCUGCGUGCCAAAACUGCCGUGCUAGAGUGCUGCAUAGGCGAGUGGAGGAACACCUGUAGCGAAAAAUGCGUCUAUACCAUAACUGACAUCUGAGGCGAAAAGGCUCGCUAGCAUACAACUGACGAUACACGGACUAAAGCUAGGGGAGAAAAUGGAUUAUAUACUAUGGUAGYCUACUAGCCCUAAACCAUCMKGACUGGGGGYUKKCCCUGUWCGGGGGCAAGUCCGUGUAGAAAACGAUAAAGUCCUGCGCCUGGGGAGUACGGUCGCAAGGCUAAAACUCAAAGGAAUUGACGGGCGCCCGCACGCGCGGUGGAACAUGUUGUUCAAUUACGCGCAACGCGGAGAACCUUACCUGGGCUUGAACCGCACAGGACCAUUCGAAGAAUCCGUUACUUCCCGCAAGGGGCUGGGGUAGUGGUGCAGCAUGGCUGUCGUCAGCUGUCGCCAUGAGGUGGUUGGUUUAGUCCCGCAAGGAGCGCCACCCUUACUAGUAGUCGCCAGGUGCAAGGGGGCACUCUGGGAGGACCGCUCGGGAUAACGGAGAGGAAGGUGGGGAUGAGGUCAAGUCAUCAUGGCCUUUAUGUCCAGGGCUACACACGUGUUACAAUGGGCGGCACAAAGCGUUGCAAACCCGCGAGGGGGAGCUAAUCGCAAAAAACCGCCCUCAGUUCGGAUUGCAGUCUGCAACUCGACUCCAUGAAGCCGGAAUCGCUAGUAAUGGCGCAUCAGAACGGCGCCGUGAAUACGUUCCCGGGCCUUGUACACACCGCCCGUCACAUCACGAAAGUGGGCUGUACUAGAAGUCGCCGAGCCAACCGCAAGGGGGCAGGCACCCAAGGUAUGACUCAUGAUUGGGGUGAAGUCGUAACAAGGUAACC
RNAcentral lists this ribosomal RNA (1493 nucleotides) under uncultured soil bacterium. RNAcentral describes it as "partial 16S ribosomal RNA". It matches the Rfam family "Bacterial small subunit ribosomal RNA". The record is from RNAcentral.